CCUACGGGAGGCAGCAGUGAGGAAUAUUGGUCAAUGGACGAGAGCCUGAACCAGCCACGUAGCGUGAAGGAUGACUGCCCUACGGGUUGUAAACUUCUUUUAUAAGGGAAUAAAGUGAUGCACGUGUGCCUUUUUGUAUGUACUUUAUGAAUAAGGAUCGGCUCACUCCGUGCCAGCCGCCGCGGUAAUACGGAGGAUCCGAGCGUUAUCCGGAUUUAUUGGGUUUAAAGGGAGCGUAGGUGGGUUGUUAAGUCAGGUGUGAAAGUUUGCGGCUCAACCGUAAAAUUGCAAUUGAUACUGGCAGUCUUGAGUACAGUAGAGGUAGGCGGAAUUCGUGGUGUAGCGGUGAAAUGCGUAGAUAUCACGAAGAACUCCGAUUGCGAAGGCAGCUUACUAAACUGCCACUGACACUGAGGCUCGAAAGUGUGGGUAUCAAACAGGAUUAGAUACCCGGGUAGUC
Molecule: ribosomal RNA, 460 nt
Filed under: uncultured bacterium
Lineage: Bacteria
Description: partial 16S ribosomal RNA
Rfam family: Bacterial small subunit ribosomal RNA
Source: RNAcentral